AGGGUACUGUCUUUGGUACUGUGGAUGUGCCCAUCAACCUCAACCUCCUCUUCUGUCACUUUUAGUAAGAAAGGUUGGAUGCAUGAAAACUAAACUUUCCAGAAUCCUUUGCAGUUUUACAGAGUAUGGAAUUGGUGGACUGCAUGUAUCACUUCAAGCUGCCUGCAAGUUAUUCAAGACCCUACCAAGAGUUGAGAGAGUACUGCUUACAUCUUUGACAACAGAACUCAAUGGUAUGAGCAAUCUGAUUCAGCUGUUCAUGUUUAUUCUUUCAGCUUUAUUGAGGUACAGUUGACAAAAUAGUAAGAUAUUUAAAGUGUACAUCAUGA
Long non-coding RNA from Mustela lutreola (European mink), 329 nucleotides. RefSeq lists it as uncharacterized. The record is from RefSeq and is a predicted model, not a curated record. NCBI's taxonomy places the organism in Eukaryota, Metazoa, Chordata, Mammalia, Carnivora, Mustelidae. The transcript is spliced from 3 exons.